UACAGAGGUGGCAAGCGUUGUUCGGAAUCACUGGGCAUAAAGGGCGCGUAGGCGGCUUGACAAGUCAGGGGUGAAAUCCGGCAGCUUAACUGUCGCAGUGCCUUUGAUACUGUCGAGCUCGAGGGAGGUAGGGGUCUGUGGAACUUCCGGUGGAGCGGUGAAAUGCGUUGAUAUCGGAAGGAACGCCGGUGGCGAAAGCGACGGACUGGAUCUCUUCUGACGCUGAGGCGCGAAAGCCAGGGGAGCAAACGGG
This 253-nucleotide ribosomal RNA is filed under the name uncultured bacterium. RNAcentral describes it as "partial 16S ribosomal RNA". It matches the Rfam family "Bacterial small subunit ribosomal RNA", at positions 524 to 776 of the family's 1533-position model. The record is from RNAcentral.